Molecule: unclassified non-coding RNA, 296 nt
Filed under: uncultured fungus
Lineage: Eukaryota; Fungi
Description: partial contains 5.8S ribosomal RNA, internal transcribed spacer 2, and large subunit ribosomal RNA
Source: RNAcentral
AACGCACCUUGUGCUCCUUGGUAUUCCGAGGAGCAUGCCUGUUUGAGUGUCAUUUGACUUAUCAACCACUUCAAAUGUUUUUUGAUGUGGCUUGGAUGUGGGGGGUUUCUUUUGCUGGCUUUUUCUUUUACAGAAGGUCAGCUCCCCUGAAACUUAUUAGUGGUAUCUGAGCUGCUGCUAUAGGUGUGAUAAUUAUCUAUGCCUUUGGUAUGCUGCAUGAACAGAUUGCGCUGCUUAUAACAAUUGAAUUUGACAAAUCUGACCUCAAAUCAGGUAGGACUACCCGCUGAACUUAA